GACGAACGCUGGCGGCGUGCUUAACACAUGCAAGUCAAACGGAAAGGCCCUGCUUUUGUGGGGUGCUCGAGUGGCGAACGGGUGAGUAACACGUGAGUAACCUGCCCUUGACUUUGGGAUAACUUCAGGAAACUGGGGCUAAUACCGGAUAGGAGCUCCUGCUGCAUGGUGGGGGUUGGAAAGUUUCGGCGGUUGUGGAUGGACUCGCGGCUUAUCAGCUUGUUGGUGGGGUAGUGGCUUACCAAGGCUUUGACGGGUAGCCGGCCUGAGAGGGUGACCGGCCACAUUGGGACUGAGAUACGGCCCAGACUCCUACGGGAGGCAGCAGGGGGGAAUAUUGCACAAUGGGCGGAAGCCUGAUGCAGCAACGCCGCGUGCGGGAUGACGGCCUUCGGGUUGUAAACCGCUUUCGCCUGUGACGAAGCGUGAGUGACGGUAAUGGGUAAAGAAGCACCGGCUAACUACGUG
This 468-nucleotide ribosomal RNA is filed under the name uncultured bacterium. Its description in RNAcentral is "partial 16S ribosomal RNA". It matches the Rfam family "Bacterial small subunit ribosomal RNA", at positions 28 to 507 of the family's 1533-position model. The record is from RNAcentral.